AGAGAGAGACAUGCGCGCAUAUCAAUAAGCGGAGGAAAAGAAACUAACUAGGAUUCCCUCAGUAACGGCGAGUGUAAGCGGGAAGAGCUCAAAUUUGAAAUCUUCAAGGUUCUACCUUGACGAAUUGUAGUUUAAAGAAGUGUUUUCUGUUGGAGUUUUGGUAAAAGUUCUUUGGAAUAGGACAUCAUAGAGGGUGAGAAUCCCGUAUUUGACCAUUAUCUCCAGCUUUGUGAUACACUUUCAAAGAGUCGGAUUGUUUGGGAAUGCAGUCCAAAAUGGGUGGUAAAUUUCAUCUAAAGCUAAAUAUUGGCGAGAGACCGAUAGCGAACAAGUACCGUGAGGGAAAGAUGAAAAGAACUUUGAAAAGAGAGUUAAACAGUACGUGAAAUUGUCAAAAGGGAAGCGUUUGACACCAGUGUUGUUUUCUCGAAAAUCAAUUAAAAAGAGGCAGGAUUUUGUGUUGUAUUGACCUUUAAUCAGCUUUCUGCACUCAAUUUUCUUGUCUUUUUUUAAUGCACUUUUCGUUUAACAAGUCAACAUCAGUUUCUUUUGUUGUAAAAAGGGUCAUUGGAAGGUGGCUUUCUUUUCGGAGAAAGUGUUUAUAGCCUUUGGCCUCUGCAAUCGGAGAGAUUGAGGUCUGCAGCGUAGAUCCUUCGGGGUUAGAUACAUUUGUGCUAAGUUAUAGCCUUUCAUAGACAACUUGUUGACUAUGAUCAGUCAUGUAGCUUACUCGCUUAUGCUAUUUUACCUACGCUUAGGAUGUUGAUGUGAUACUGCGAGCA
This 782-nucleotide ribosomal RNA is filed under the name uncultured Neocallimastigales. RNAcentral describes it as "partial large subunit ribosomal RNA". It matches the Rfam family "Eukaryotic large subunit ribosomal RNA", at positions 23 to 646 of the family's 3401-position model. Lineage: Eukaryota; Fungi; Neocallimastigomycota; Neocallimastigomycetes; Neocallimastigales. The record is from RNAcentral.